GGGGAUAUGGCGCAGCUGGCUAGCGCGCUUGACUGGCAGUCAAGAGGUCAGGGGUUCGAAUCCCCUUAUCUCCACCA
Molecule: transfer RNA, 77 nt
Filed under: Clostridiales bacterium
Lineage: Bacteria; Bacillati; Bacillota; Clostridia; Eubacteriales
Also listed under: 1 other name
Description: tRNA-Ala
Rfam family: tRNA
About the family: Transfer RNA (tRNA) molecules are approximately 80 nucleotides in length.
Source: RNAcentral